This 1411-nucleotide unclassified non-coding RNA is filed under the name Hevea brasiliensis (rubber tree). Lineage: Eukaryota; Viridiplantae; Streptophyta; Magnoliopsida; Malpighiales; Euphorbiaceae. The record is from RNAcentral.
GGUGAAUUCUGCAGAAGAGUUUCAUAAUAAAGUCAGUAAAUAGCAAUCAGCACGUAGGGUCAGAUUGGCCCAUCAAAGUUUGUAGGAGUUGAACGAAUUUUCACAGCAAAGCCAUUAGCUUCUAAACAUUUUCUGGAAUUGAUGCUAGGAGUUCUGUUGCUAGACCCGAGCUACACUUUGUUCAAGUAAUGCGCAUGGUGAAUUUGGAGAAAUGGAGCUGUGAGUAAUUUGUGAAUCUUGCCGCCUGGAUAACUAGUCCUCAUGGCCCCCACGCAUAAAGGGGCAGAGACCCGUUAACAUGAACUAACUAAAAUUUUAUAUUUCAUAAAAUAUUAGAAAUUUCUAGGCUGAAUGGAGAAUUGACAAAUAUGAAUAACAUAAACAAAGAAUUCCCAACUCCAAAUGUAUACACGACUGCAGCUCCCCUGCAUUUUUGAUAACCCAUCAAAUCAAAACUUUAAUUGCAGAAAUGUACUGCCUGAAUAGUCUCCAAAUUCUACAAACAAAGAUUUUCAGAAAAAACUUCAACAGAACCUUUGUGACUCAAAACAUUGCUUCAGUGCAUGAAUAAUUACAUAUCCUCUGAAGUUUUAAAAAGUAAACAAAUACUCUUGCACGCGUUAUCCUGAAUUUAACAAGCAAUGAACCAGAAAAUCACCACAAACGUGGAAUGCAACAUUACCUUAAGAUGAUAUUGCUUCUGCAAUGAUUGUCGAAACAGCCCAGUGUAUAUUCCACACAUCCACCAGGUAAAUAAUAGACCCUCGCAAAUGAGAAAAGAAGUCUUAGGAUCAAUACCAUGGAAAAAUAGAGUAGCUGCUGCAAGCGCCAGUCCACCUUCAACACACAUGGCAUGGCAAACACAUGCAUUGGUCCAAGGAAUAUCUUCUCUCAGUGUUUCGACAUUAUGUCCAAACAACACACAUGGGCAAAAGAGUCCAGUCCAGCAACUCUCAGAAUCAUCAGCACAGCCACAAAUUCCGGUGGUCCAAUCUUCAUCGGCAGGAGGCUCAUAGCUUUCAGGUAGAGCUUGCCCGCAUUCAGCACAUCUGUGGAUGAUUAACUCAGGAACUGGAAUGGGCUGAUUGAGUUCGCCGGGAGUGAUAUCUUCGGUUGGCACUUGAUCCUUUGUCAACUUGACGUACCUUGAUUGCGCAUUGCCGUCCGCCAUCUUAUCCAAAACAUCAACCAAUUAAAUAACAAUCGUAUACACACACAUACACACAUAUAGUACAUGUAUGUGCAGAAAACUCUGAGAGAGAACGAACCUCGGAAUGAGAUUGAAAUUCACUUGGAGGCAAAUGAAUCUACUACUUCAAAUGUUAAAGAGCAGAAAAAUUAGAGAGAUCUCAUCUGAAUCCGAUUCUAUUCCUUUAUUUGGAUUAUGGAGAAGUUUUCUCAACGGCGUUUA